Non-coding RNA from Aspergillus hancockii, 81 nucleotides. The record is from the annotation of a GenBank genome assembly. Lineage: Eukaryota; Fungi; Ascomycota; Eurotiomycetes; Eurotiales; Aspergillaceae.
GGUUGUGUAGUGUAAUGGUUAGCACACGGGAUUUUGAGAAGAAGUCUUCCCGUAAUCCCGGUUCGAUCCCGGGCACGACCU